This is a long non-coding RNA of Neofelis nebulosa (Clouded leopard), 1949 nucleotides long. RefSeq lists it as uncharacterized. Lineage: Eukaryota; Metazoa; Chordata; Mammalia; Carnivora; Felidae. The transcript has 4 exons. The record is from RefSeq and is a predicted model, not a curated record.
CUGCGUGCAGCCCUUGGUUGAUUCACAGGCACAGGCUGGAGAAGGUGCCACAGGCCGCAGAACCGGAACUGACAGAGGGUCCAGGAGUCAGUUGUGGAGCUGGUCAAAUAAGAGCCCUAAACUAAUUCGCAAGGAGUCAACCACAGAAACCUGGGUUUGAGGUUCAGACACGACCAUGUGUGAAUGAAGUAACUGCCCAUAGGAAGGUUCGAGUUCAUCAGACUCAGGAAGCAAGCUGCCAUGUUGUGACCAACAUGAAGCCCCAACUCCCUGGCUAGCCACUUGUGAGGAACUGAUGGUGUCUACCUGUGACCACGUGUGCUCCAUUCUCUCAAACUGGAAGCCACUAGAAAACACUAAUCAGGUCAUAUCAUUUCUGGGACCUCAGUGCCUGGCUGAAUAGUUUUCAACAUAGCUACUCAUACUAAAAACAACAACAACAACAACAACAACAACAAGUUGAUUAAAUGGAAGAAGGUCUGGAUUCAAAUCCUACUCUAAAUUCUUUCAUGACAAGACUUCUGGGCCUCCUUUUUCUUACUUAUAAAAGAAGAGCUUUUUUUUAAAUGUUUAUUUAUUUUGAGACAGAGAAAGAGAGAAAGAAAAAAAAAAUCCCAAGUAGGCUCUGCCCUGUAAGUGCAGAGCCCGAAGCAGGGCUCCAUCCCAAGGACCAUGACGUCAUAACCUGAACCAAAAUCAAGAGUCGGACGCUCAACCCGCUACUGAAGUGACCCAGGCACCCCAGGAAAGGUUUUGUUUUGUUUUAAAUCUGCUUUUGAGGAUUUCAGUGGAAAAUGAAUAUGUUAAAGUACUUAGAAUUUCCUGGCACAUAGUAGGUUCAUAAGAAAUUUUAGUUCUGCUCCUUCCUUUUACUCAAAAUGGCAAGAAUCUCUCAGUCGUGCUGAAGCCCUGGGUGGCCUUGGUGCUGUCUCUUGUUCAGAAAGUCGCUCUAAGUCCCAAGGGGCAUGUGAGUGGAGGCAGCAGAUGAUAUGUGUAUGAGGUACAGAAGAAGCCAGCUCUGACUGAACCCACCUCCUUCCAUUCUUUCCUCCUUCCUGCCCAUUCCUGCUGUCUACCUUCCUCCCAACUGGUUAUGUUAGCUUCUAUGUACCCAGCAUGAGGGACAUACUUCACCCUGGACCUGCGGGAGAAUUUGCAUCGGCUAUAUAUUUGGAUUAAGAGGGGGGUCAAAGUUAGGGUGCUCAGGUGGGGCUGGAAACAGUGGAAAACCAAGGUGCUUUUGGGCUAUAAACGGAAAUGGAUAGCGGGCUGGCCAUGGUGAGGUAGGUCACUUAGAGAUGUGAUCCCCUGGAGAGGCAGUUGCAGAAAUCAGCGGGGACCGAUUAGAAGGGAUUUAGGAUGCCAUGUUCAGCGGUUUGGACCCCGCCACAUGGCAAUCGGGGGAUCGUGACUGUUCGAGAUAGCGGAGGUGGAAGGACGGAAGGGGACACUGGACCAGCAGAGGGAGAGAGGCUGUGGGUAUUCGUCAAAGCAUGGAUACCAGCACAGCUUUAUUUUCAUCUUUCAAGAACACUGAGUUUGAUGUUUUUCUCAGCUUGGGUAGCUGUAACAAAAUACCGCAGGCUGGGUGACUUAAACAGCAGACAUUCAUUUCUCGCAGUUCUGGAGCCUGGGAAGUCUACCUUCAGGGUACCAGAAUGGUUGGGUUCUGGGGAGACCUCCCCUCCUGGUUUAUGCACAGCUGGUCACCUUUUCGCUGUGUCCACACAUGGUCUUUCCUUGGCAUAUGCGUAUGGAGAGACCUCUCUCUCUCUCUCUCUCUCUCUCUCUCUUCCCCUUCCUCUUCCUCUUCCUCUAAGGGCAUUCAAUAAUUCCAUGAGGAUCCCAACUUCAUGGUCUCAUUUAGAUCUAAAUACGUCUCCAAAAACUCAUCUCCAAAUAUUAUUACAUUGCAUGUUAGGGCUUCAACAUACGGGUGUUGGGUGGGU